AUUGAACGCUGGCGGCAGGCCUAACACAUGCAAGUCGAACGGUAACAGGAAACAGCUUGCUGUUUCGCUGACGAGUGGCGGACGGGUGAGUAAUGUCUGGGAAACUGCCUGAUGGAGGGGGAUAACUACUGGAAACGGUAGCUAAUACCGCAUAACGUCGCAAGACCAAAGAGGGGGACCUUCGGGCCUCUUGCCAUCGGAUGUGCCCAGAUGGGAUUAGCUAGUAGGUGGGGUAACGGCUCACCUAGGCGACGAUCCCUAGCUGGUCUGAGAGGAUGACCGGCCACACGGGAACUGAGACACGGCCCAGACCCCCACGGGAGGGAGCAGGGGGGAAUAUUGCAAAAGGGGCGAAAGCCUGAGGCAGCCAGGCCGGGUGUAUGAAGAAGGCCUGCGGGUUGUAAAGUACUUUCAGGGGGGAUGAAGGGAGGAAAGUUAAUCCCUUUGCUCAUUGACGUUACCCGCAGAAGAAGCACCGGCUAACCCCGU
Molecule: ribosomal RNA, 489 nt
Filed under: uncultured bacterium
Lineage: Bacteria
Description: partial 16S ribosomal RNA
Rfam family: Bacterial small subunit ribosomal RNA
Source: RNAcentral